CAAGCCGGGAGGCCCCGGGACCGAGGAGGGUGUCGGGCGCGCGGCGGGGUCGCCGGGGCUGGCGGAGGGCGGCCCCACCCGGACCCCAGAGCAGAGGACGCUCGGGGCCGGGGCGACGCUCGGGGCCGGGGCUCCGCUCGGUGGGAAGGGUGGCGGCUCACGUCGGGCCGUGCAUUCCAGGGUCCCAGGCACUCGGACGCCUGUUGUCCGAGUGCCCCUCGCCCUUCCCAUCGCGGCCGCGCACUGUGGGGUUCAACCCCGUCGGGGACCGAGGCUCGUUGCGGCCUGUGGGAGUAACGGGUGCCAGGAAAUGUGGGACCCCACCCACGACCCUGCGCGGGGAGCGCGCAGCCCCAGUUGCAGGAAAAGCAGCGGGCGCAGAGCAGGCUGGGAAAGAACUUGUUGCGGGGGUGAUGGAGGUCGCGUCGUUGAACUUCCCGAACCCGCUGAAGAGCUGGAGGUGCCCCGCAGGCCUUCUCAGAAGUGCCCGGGUGCUCCAGGCAUCUUCCUCUCCCAGCACUGAACCCUCCCGCCUCCUACAGCAGAUGCUGCUGAACCAGGCUUGGCGCCUCCAGCACAUUUAAGAUUUUUUGUGUUUCCAUGAAUCCUUCAUGUCAUCUCACGUGUACCUUGCACAUACCAAGAAAGCCCAGAAUUUAUCUUAAAGCUACAAGCAAGGUGCCUGGCUGCCCUCAACACUUCCCUAAAGGGGGAAGGAAGUGACUAUGGAAAUGGCGGAGCCGAGCAAAACCAGGGAGGGCAGACCUUCCGUCACUGGUCAUCGUUGAGGCAAAAGCCCUGCGCGGCCUGAGCCCCGGCCCUGCCCAAACAGGGGUUGUGGAUUUUGUGGAAGAAUAAAUACCAUGGAAGUAAAGUGCCAUUCUCUUGACAUCAUACCAGAGGGACACGCUAUCAACAGGGAUGAUAUUAGUCCCAAUCACUAGACAAGGCAGUGUUUAUCGAGCCUCACCACCAUAAAGUUCUUUCUUUACUCCUUUCCAUGUUCUAUUCUUUGGAACCCAUUCACUAAGUACAGCCUACUUUUGCCUGUUUGUUUUUUAAAUAGCAUUGUUUGUCUUAGUGAGUUUUAGAAGUUUUUGUGUAUCCUAAAUAAAAGUUAUUAGAUAUA
Molecule: long non-coding RNA, 1129 nt
Organism: Lynx canadensis (Canada lynx)
Lineage: Eukaryota; Metazoa; Chordata; Mammalia; Carnivora; Felidae
Exons: 3
Source: RefSeq, a predicted model, not a curated record